This 84-nucleotide transfer RNA is filed under the name Bacillus thuringiensis. Its description in RNAcentral is "tRNA-Tyr". It matches the Rfam family "tRNA". Rfam says of the family: Transfer RNA (tRNA) molecules are approximately 80 nucleotides in length. Their secondary structure includes four short double-helical elements and three loops (D, anti-codon, and T loops). The record is from RNAcentral. Lineage: Bacteria; Bacillati; Bacillota; Bacilli; Caryophanales; Bacillaceae.
GUCGGGGUGGCGGAACGGUAAACGCAGUUUUAUAUAAAUAAAACGAGCUAAAUGCUCUUGAGGGUUCAACUCCCUCCCUCGACA